This is a long non-coding RNA of Oncorhynchus kisutch (coho salmon), 845 nucleotides long. RefSeq lists it as uncharacterized. The transcript is spliced from 2 exons. The record is from RefSeq and is a predicted model, not a curated record. Lineage: Eukaryota; Metazoa; Chordata; Actinopteri; Salmoniformes; Salmonidae.
GCCUGGGCGAUUUUUACGGUCUAACUUCAAGAUAAAACCCUCAUCCGUUUGACAUGUAAAUGUCAUAGCUUCUUUUUGUAUAGUUUGGCCAAGGGGAAAGCAAAUUUUCAAAACGCAAUUGGCCAGGCAGCGCCGGGCAGAUGGGGAUUUUUGGCAGGACCUUUACUCGGCUCUAAAAAAGUAGCGUAGGACCAGAAAGAACGGUUGAGGACCCGCCGGUCUCCUGACAACUUUACGAACAGCAAGGUAAAGCCGGCUGAAGUUCUCUGACUUGGUAACUUUUGUGGACAAAACUGCACUGCAGAAAAGUUGUCCACAAAUUGCAUGGGAAGCAACACACUGGAUACCAAUUCAGUUAAAAUGACACAAUAUCUAUGGACUAUGACCGGAAAUCCCAGCGAAGAUGAGUCUGACUGUAUGGAGAAAAAGUGAUGAUUUGUUUAUACAGACCAGGGAGGAAACACGCGCCUGUCACUUUUUGUCAUGUGUCACGGAACUACCUCAUAGACCCUCUUCAUGAAAAGAGUAUGUGCUCUUUUCAUGAUUCUGCAUUGUUCUGUAUAUUUGUUUAUUUGAUAAUAUAGGAAUACAUGUAUGUAUAUGAGUAUGUGUGUUAUAUUUGCUACUGUGAAUAAAAUGUGUUUCACGCGCAGCAUUUUGAUGGCGAUAAUUGACUUACAAGUAUAUUUUGCACGAUUAAACAUAUCACUAAUGUGUUCUACUAAGUUAAUAACUGCGUAUAAUGUAAAAAUGCCAAUUUAGUUGAUUCUAGCUUUUCAUUGGCCUAUCUGUAAUCUUGGUGAUGUUGUAGGCCUUUCAUAAAAAUAUAAGAAAGUUGUAAACGA